UACGGAGGAUCCAAGCGUUAUCCGGAUUCAUUGGGUUUAAAGGGUGCGUAGGCGGAAUGAUAAGUCAGCGGUGAAAUCCCUCGGCUUAACCGAGGAACUGCCGUUGAUACUGUCAAUCUUGAGUACAUUUGAUGUGGGCGGAAUGUGUCAUGUAGCGGUGAAUGCUUAGAUAUGACACAGAACACCGAUUGCGAAGGCAGCUCACAAAACUGUAACUGACGCUGAGGCACGAAAGCGUGGGUAUCAAACAGG
Molecule: ribosomal RNA, 252 nt
Filed under: uncultured bacterium
Lineage: Bacteria
Description: partial 16S ribosomal RNA
Rfam family: Bacterial small subunit ribosomal RNA
Source: RNAcentral